RNAcentral lists this ribosomal RNA (700 nucleotides) under uncultured Planctomycetota bacterium. RNAcentral's name for it is "bacterial SSU rRNA". It matches the Rfam family "Bacterial small subunit ribosomal RNA", at positions 94 to 809 of the family's 1533-position model. Lineage: Bacteria; Pseudomonadati; Planctomycetota. The record is from RNAcentral.
AGCGGCGAAAGGGAGAGUAACGCGUGGUUACGUGCCCAGGGGUCCAGGAUAGCGUUGGAAACUGGCGGUAAUACUGGAUGAUAUCUUUGGAUCAAAGGUGAGAUUCCGCCCUUGGAUCGGACCGCGUACUAUUAGCUUGUUGGUGGGGUAAAGGCCUACCAAGGCUGCGAUGGUUACCGGGUGUGAGAGCAUGGCCCGGCUCACUGGGACUGAGACACUGCCCAGACACCUACGGGUGGCUGCAGUCGAGAAUCUUCGGCAAUGGACGAAAGUCUGACCGAGCGACGCCGCGUGCGGGAUGAAGGCCCUCGGGUUGUAAACCGCUGUCAGUUGGGAGGAAAGGAACGUGAAGAGCGUUUCUUGACCGAUCUUCAGAGGAAGGACGGGCUAAGUUCGUGCCAGCAGCCGCGGUAAGACGAACCGUCCAAACGUUAUUCGGUAUCACUGGGCUUAAAGCGUGCGUAGGCGGCUUGGUAGGUGUGAUGUGAAAGCCCACGGCUCAACCGUGGAAUUGCGUCGCAAACCCUCAAGCUUGAGGAAGACAGGGGUGUUGGGAACUUAUGGUGGAGCGGUGAAAUGCGUUGAUAUCAUAGGGAACACCGGUGGCGAAGGCGCAACACUGGGUCUUUACUGACGCUGAGGCACGAAAGCUAGGGUAGCGAACGGGAUUAGAUACCCCGGUAGUCCUAGCCGUAAACGA